CCCUUAGAUGUUCUGGGCCGCACACGCGCUACACUGAAGGAGGCAGCGUGUACUCCUGGAUCGAAAGAUUUGGGUAACCCGCGAAUCUCCUUCGUGCUAGGGAUUGAGGUUUGCAAUUAUCCUUCAUGAACGAGGAAUUCCCAGUAAGUGCAAGUCAUAAGCUUGCGCUGACUACGUCCCUGCCCUUUGUACACACCGCCCGUCGCUACUACCGAUUGAAUGAUUUAGUGAGGACUUCGGACUGGGACCGAUGCGGCUUUCGGGCUGCGUCGGUAUUCUGGAAAGAUGUCCAAACUGUAUCAUUUAGAGGAAGUAAAGNUCGUANCA
This 327-nucleotide ribosomal RNA is filed under the name uncultured eukaryote. RNAcentral describes it as "partial 18S ribosomal RNA". It matches the Rfam family "Eukaryotic small subunit ribosomal RNA", at positions 1470 to 1796 of the family's 1831-position model. The record is from RNAcentral.